CCAUAACUACUCUGAAAAUAGCUGAUCUCGUUUAAUCUUGGAAGCUAAGCAGGAUCAGGCAUGGUGAGUAAUUGGAUGGGAGAUCAGUAAGAAUAAGGGGU
Molecule: ribosomal RNA, 101 nt
Filed under: Notechis scutatus (mainland tiger snake)
Lineage: Eukaryota; Metazoa; Chordata; Lepidosauria; Squamata; Elapidae
Source: RNAcentral